AUUGAACGCUGGCGGCAGGCCUAACACAUGCAAGUCGAACGGUAACAGGAAGCAGCUUACUUCUUUGCUGACGAGUGGCGGGCGGGUGAGUAAUGUCUGGGAAACUGCCUGAUGGAGGGGGAUAACUACUGGAAACGGUAGCUAAUACCGCAUAACGUCGCAAGACCAAAGAGGGGGACCUUCGGGCCUCUUGCCAUCAGAUGUGCCCAGAUGGGAUUAGCUUGUUGGUGGGGUAACGGCUCACCAAGGCGACGAUCCCUAACUGGUCUGAGAGGAUGACCAGCCACACUGGAACUGAGACACGGUCCAGACUCCUACGGGAGGCAGCAGUGGGGAAUAUUGCACAAUGGGCGCAAGCCUGAUGCAGCCAUGCCGCGUGUAUGAAGAAGGCCUUCGGGUUUUAAAGUACUUUCAGCGGGGAGGAAGGGAGUAAAGUUAAUACCUUUGCUCAUUGACGUUACCCGCAGAAGAAGCACCGGCUAACUCCGUG
Molecule: ribosomal RNA, 490 nt
Filed under: uncultured bacterium
Lineage: Bacteria
Description: partial 16S ribosomal RNA
Rfam family: Bacterial small subunit ribosomal RNA
Source: RNAcentral